AUCUGACGACAAAUUGCAGAAAAAAGUCGAAAUUUCUGCAAGUUGUCGUCAAAUCCG
Non-coding RNA from Caenorhabditis elegans, 57 nucleotides. The record is from Ensembl. Lineage: Eukaryota; Metazoa; Nematoda; Chromadorea; Rhabditida; Rhabditidae.